Molecule: transfer RNA, 86 nt
Filed under: Burkholderia sp.
Lineage: Bacteria; Pseudomonadati; Pseudomonadota; Betaproteobacteria; Burkholderiales; Burkholderiaceae
Description: tRNA-Leu
Rfam family: tRNA
About the family: Transfer RNA (tRNA) molecules are approximately 80 nucleotides in length.
Source: RNAcentral
GCCCAGGUGGCGAAAUGGUAGACGCACUAGGUUCAGGUCCUAGAGGUGUUUAUAACACUGUGGAGGUUCGAGUCCUCUCCUGGGCA